GAUGAACGCUGGCGGCGUGCCUAAUACAUGCAAGUCGAGCGAACAGAUAAGGAGCUUGCUCCUUUGACGUUAGCGGCGGACGGGUGAGUAACACGUGGGUAACCUACCUAUAAGACUGGAAUAACUCCGGGAAACCGGGGCUAAUGCCGGAUAACAUUUAGAACCGCAUGGUUCUAAAGUGAAAGAUGGUUUUGCUAUCACUUAUAGAUGGACCCGCGCCGUAUUAGCUAGUUGGUAAGGUAACGGCUUACCAAGGCAACAAUACGUAGCCGACCUGAGAGGGUGAUCGGCCACACUGGAACUGAGACACGGUCCAGACUCCUACGGGAGGCAGCAGUAGGGAAUCUUCCGCAAUGGGCGAAAGCCUGACGGAGCAACGCCGCGUGAGUGAUGAAGGUCUUCGGAUCGUAAAACUCUGUUAUUAGGGAAGAACAAAUGUGUAAGUAACUGUGCACGUCUUGACGGUACCUAAUCAGAAAGCCACGGCUAACUACGUG
Molecule: ribosomal RNA, 497 nt
Filed under: uncultured bacterium
Lineage: Bacteria
Description: partial 16S ribosomal RNA
Rfam family: Bacterial small subunit ribosomal RNA
Source: RNAcentral